UUAGGAAUAUUGGGCAAUGGAGGAAACUCUGACCCAGCAACGCCGCGUGAAGGAAGAAGGUUUUCGGAUUGUAAACUUCUGAUCUUGGGGAAAAAGAAAGUGAUGGUACCCAAGGAGAAAGCCACGGCUAACUACGUGCCAGCAGCCGCGGUAAUACGUAGGUGGCGAGCGUUGUCCGGAAUGACUGGGCGUAAAGGGAGCGUAGGUUGUUGUUUAAGUUAAAUGUGAAAGCCCGCGGCUCAACUGCGGAACUGCAUUUAAUACUGGACAACUAGAGUGCAGGAGGGGUAAGCGGAAUUCCUA
Molecule: ribosomal RNA, 303 nt
Filed under: uncultured bacterium
Lineage: Bacteria
Description: bacterial SSU rRNA
Rfam family: Bacterial small subunit ribosomal RNA
Source: RNAcentral